RNAcentral lists this ribosomal RNA (638 nucleotides) under Tricholoma sejunctum. RNAcentral's name for it is "eukaryotic LSU rRNA". It matches the Rfam family "Eukaryotic large subunit ribosomal RNA", at positions 48 to 672 of the family's 3401-position model. The record is from RNAcentral. Lineage: Eukaryota; Fungi; Basidiomycota; Agaricomycetes; Agaricales; Tricholomataceae.
AGGGGGAAGAACUAACAGGAUUCCCCUAGUAACUGCGAGUGAAGCGGGAAAAGCUCAAAUUUAAAAUCUGAUGGUCCUUGUGGCUAUCCGAGUUGUAAUCUAGAGAAGUGCUAUCCGCGCUGGACCGUGUACAAGUCUCCUGGAACGGAGCGUCAUAGAGGGUGAGAAUCCCGUCUUUGACACGGACUACCAGGGCUUAUGUGAUGCGCUCUCAAAGAGUCGAGUUGUUUGGGAAUGCAGCUCUAAAUGGGUGGUAAAUUCCAUCUAAAGCUAAAUAUUGGCGAGAGACCGAUAGCGAACAAGUACCGUGAGGGAAAGAUGAAAAGAACUUUGGAAAGAGAGUUAAACAGUACGUGAAAUUGUUGAAAGGGAAACGCUUGAAGUCAGUCACGUUGGCCAGGGAUCAACCUUGCUUUUGCUUGGCGUACUUUCUGGUUAACGGGUCAGCAUCAAUUUUGACCGGUGGAUAAAGGUCAGGGGAAUGUGGCAUCUUCGGAUGUGUUAUAGCCCUUGGUUGCAUACAUCGGUUGGGAUUGAGGAACUCAGCACGCCGCAAGGCCGGGUUUUUAACCACGUACGUGCUUAGGAUGCUGGCAUAAUGGCUUUAAUCGACCCGUCUUGAAAAGGGGAACCAAGAA